This 560-nucleotide ribosomal RNA is filed under the name Brevundimonas vesicularis. Its description in RNAcentral is "bacterial SSU rRNA". It matches the Rfam family "Bacterial small subunit ribosomal RNA", at positions 109 to 704 of the family's 1533-position model. Lineage: Bacteria; Pseudomonadati; Pseudomonadota; Alphaproteobacteria; Caulobacterales; Caulobacteraceae. The record is from RNAcentral.
AGUAACACGUGGGAACGUGCCUAAAGGUUCGGAAUAACUCAGGGAAACUACUGCUAAUACCGAAUGUGCCCUUCGGGGGAAAGAUUUAUCGCCUUUAGAGCGGCCCGCGUCUGAUUAGCUAGUUGGUGAGGUAAAGGCUCACCAAGGCGACGAUCAGUAGCUGGUCUGAGAGGAUGAUCAGCCACAUUGGGACUGAGACACGGCCCAAACUCCUACGGGAGGCAGCAGUGGGGAAUCUUGCGCAAUGGGCGAAAGCCUGACGCAGCCAUGCCGCGUGAAUGAUGAAGGUCUUAGGAUUGUAAAAUUCUUUCACCGGGGACGAUAAUGACGGUACCCGGAGAAGAAGCCCCGGCUAACUUCGUGCCAGCAGCCGCGGUAAUACGAAGGGGGCUAGCGUUGCUCGGAAUUACUGGGCGUAAAGGGAGCGUAGGCGGACAUUUAAGUCAGGGGUGAAAUCCCGGGGCUCAACCUCGGAAUUGCCUUUGAUACUGGGUGUCUUGAGUAUGAGAGAGGUGUGUGGAACUCCGAGUGUAGAGGUGAAAUUCGUAGAUAUUCGGAAG